This 282-nucleotide ribosomal RNA is filed under the name uncultured bacterium. RNAcentral describes it as "partial 16S ribosomal RNA". It matches the Rfam family "Bacterial small subunit ribosomal RNA", at positions 28 to 311 of the family's 1533-position model. The record is from RNAcentral.
GACGAACGCUGGCGGCGUGCUUAACACAUGCAAGUCGAGCGGUAAGGCCCUUUCGGGGGUACACGAGCGGCGAACGGGUGAGUAACACGUGGGUGACCUGCCCUCAGCUCUGGGAUAAGCCUGGGAAACCGGGUCUAAUACUGGAUAUGACUCCAUGACGCAUGUUGUGGGGUGGAAAGCCUUGUGCGGCUGAGGAUGGGCCCNCGGCCUAUCAGCUUGUUGGUGGGGUGANGGCCUACCAAGGCGACGACGGGUAGCCGGCCUGAGAGGGCGACCGGCCAC